RNAcentral lists this unclassified non-coding RNA (7392 nucleotides) under Haliotis rufescens (red abalone). Its description in RNAcentral is "centromere protein J-like, transcript variant X2". Lineage: Eukaryota; Metazoa; Mollusca; Gastropoda; Lepetellida; Haliotidae. The record is from RNAcentral.
UUGCACAAGCGUCAGACGCAAUUUCCGGAUACUUGUUAACAACAGCGUGAUACCAUUCUUAGAAAUCAAUGUAAUUAACCACGUCUGAUUGCCUCAAAUCAAGUGUCAACAUGUUCAAAAUCGUUCCAUUACAAAUAAGCGCGCCUUUUGUUUAAAGUGAUUAAUUCGGGAAAUUAGUAUCGUGGCACACAACCGCAUUUGUGCAUCUGUCAUCAAGCUCUUAGCCUAAGGCACUCUCUUAAAAUCAUAUGCACAAUUACACAAGUAUGAAUCUCAAAAGGGCCUGAUGAGACACCUGAUGCUAACGUGUUAGGAAAUAGGAGCAAUAAUGUACAAGCACCAUGAAGACACUUACACAGCACAGUUGGAUCUGUUCUUUCACAGAGUUAUAUAUCCAUGAUGACCUUGCUCAGAAUUCUGCCUGUUUUUCACAAGUAGGGUUUGAUUAGAACAUAUGUGACAAGUACAUCAUGACGGAAGAGAGUUUGAGGGAAUCAAUUCUUUAUCAAAGUUCACAAGAUCAUGAUCACGAAGAUGGUGGAAUUGGCAGACUGGACAACACAGCUGCAUCCGACCUGCUGGAGCAGCAGCAGGCUAUGGAGCAGGCACGACUCCUGACACGGUUCCGGGAGCUGCGUCAGUGGCAGCUGCAGCAGCAGGAGCAGUUGAUGCAUCAGCAGAAGACGCAGCUGGAGGGACUGCGACAGGAACAGCUGAAGGUGCAGAGCCUGCUACACAGAGAGAGAGAGGUGCAGUGGGGUGGAGGGAAAGUGAUACGUCAGCAAGGAAACACGCCUACAAAGACCCCUCCCCGUCGACGCCCACCUCUCCCAGCCAACAACGAACUGAUGACAGCCCUGAUGUCAGUGGUGGGGAGCCAGGAUCCACUAGCUGUUACACUAGACCAGUCUGUGUCUCAGUCCCAGACGUCUCUGCCCAUGCCGGUGUUGUAUGGGCCCCCGGCGCCGAUGUUGGACGAUACCAGCACCAACCCAGAAUUGUUCAGCAACCCAGAGUCACGCCCGGACUACCAGAGAGACAUCGACGCGGUGGAUGAUGGCGUCUGUCCCAUGCCUGACAACAUCUCUGAGAUAAGUGAUGGCUCAUAUAUGCCUCAUGGUCAGAAGAAAAACUUUAUAAGGACUCAACCGUUCCUCGGUGACCUUGCAUCAGACACUGCUUCAGUGAGGAGUGAUGGGUCGUACAUCCCUCCAAAACAGUUUAUGUCGCGGAAUGGCAGCGCUAUGCCCAUGCAGAUGCCGGUGUCACCCGAGGCGGCGUCCCUGUUGCAGACAUUGCUGCAGACGACCAAAGCUGACACAUUGAAACAGAUGCUAGGUCUCGUCCCUCCUGAGCGUGUCGUGAUUCCGGACCAGCCACAAGGGAUGCGGUCCAGAGUUGCGGACAACGAUCAGGACAUGGAUGUCAACAGAAACUGCUCUCGUGUUCAGCGCAGUCAGGAUUAUGUGGAUGAUGAAGAACAGCAUCACAAAUAUGACCGACUCCAUAAUGGGUCCCGCCAUCACUUAGAGAAGCCCCGAGAUGACAGCAGUGUUUCUGGUCGACACAGACGGAGUGCUGAGUACAGACAUACCAGUCAGGGAGAAAGGGACUUCGGUCAAAUACAGCCCGACAUGGAGAGGUUGCUUAGAGAUGCCCAAGUUCAAGGUCACUGGAAUCAGCGGAAUGGGCAACAGCUUGAUGAUACAGUCGAGGAUGACAGUUUGAUGGAGCAGGAAGUAGCAGACAUCACGGUUCAAGAGGUCCAGGAGAUGAAGGUGCUAGGUAUUGAUGACAGACCCAUCAAGUCGGAGUUGGCAGGCAAGAAGACGUUUGACCAGCUGCUGGAGGAACAGAUGAAGGAGGAAGAGGAGAGGCUGAGAGCAGGUGCUUGUGAUUCCCCCAGUACCAGAAAGAAGCCAUUUCUACGCAAAGGUCAAGGUUUGGCCAGGUUCGGCCCUGGGAAGAAAAAGGCAGCCCCUAGAAAACCUGCGACGACCGAGAAACUCCUUGACAACAAACCAUCCGCGAACACCGAGUCGAAGCCUGUCAGUAGAGUAGUGAAGGUUAACAAGGCAGCUCCCAAACCAAAGAAGUCCUCAGCUGUUUCCUCUCACAAGGUCAGCAAGGAGCCACAGUCUAGUCAGACAAAUGGACCAAAGAAAGAACCCUCUCCCAAGCAGAAGAACAAGACCACAGCCCGAAUCUCGCCACGUCAAACUGCCCCAAAACACAGCACGGCGCCACACACGGACUCCCCACCCAAUGUGAAGAGGGUGGGCCAGGCAGACUCGCCCGGUACGAAGGGGGUAGGCCGGACAGAGGAAGCUGUGCAGUUUGACGAUGAUGCAUCAUUUGUGGGGAAAAUAAGGAAAAUUGAAGAAAAUAAGAAGGUUGAGGAGGAUGAGCUGGAGGUGUUUGAGCUGCUGGAGGACUUCGCCGACAAUGUCUCCUUCUGCAGCAACUCCUCCGUGGUGUCGCGCCUGCUGCAGAAGGGGCGGGAAGAGCACCAAGCAAAUUUGAAAAAUGUCAAGGCUGUUAUAGAAGCUAAGAAGAAUGAGAAGGGAAAGCUUCCUGGACAUGCUACCAACAGUAGGUCGGGGAAACCCCGGCUCCCUGCCCACCCCGAGAUGUCCCCAAGGGACACGUCACUGAUAGACGGGGUGGAUCUCGACACCUCCUCCGACACCCUCACUGACUCUUCCUCCUCCGAGUCUUCUGAUGAGGAGUACGAGAAGGUCAAGGUCACACCGACAAAGAAAUCGGAUGUGAAUCAGUCCUAUGAGGCAUUAUUUGAUCAAAGUCAAAAGGAAGGAUUUGUGUUUGUGAACAAUAAGAACAGUGAUAGUGACGCCUUUAGAUCGUCUGAUUCAGAAAUACGGACUUCAGUGCCUUUGUCUCCAACUAAAUCAUUGACUCGUAAAAUCGCUGUUAAAGACGCAAGGCUUGGUGACUCCAGUGAGAUGCAGUCUAUACUGGAGAGACUAGCGGCCGGGGCGGAGGGAGUGGCACGAGGGACGGACGUACACGCAGGGGUCAUGACAGAUCCUUGUAGUUCUCAGGACCAGGUGAUGGUAAAUCAGAUGUUUGGCGGUGACAGCGUUGGCGGCGUUCCCCACACCAGGAGCUCCAGCAGCAGUGAGGAUGGUAUGGACGAAGACGACAGUGACGAUAGCAUUACUCGGGUCAAAGGUCAGAAGUCACAUGAUCCUGAGGUGAAGGACACGUCCUCCCUGUUUGAUGAUGAGGAUGAGUGGGCCGUUUCAGCUCCACAGACACAGAUGGCUAUGUUGGAUGCUGAAUCAGCCAGUCUGGAUGCUGACAAGUCGACACCACCCACAUCUCGACUAGUGGCCCGGCUCUUCCCCAAACUGAAGAACGCCAACCAGGUGAAACAGGCAGAGAAACACCAACAGGAGCAGCAGAAGCUCCAGGCUGUUGCCAAGGCAACGCUAGGUGAUGGGGUGCAGUCCAAGAUUCUUCGGGAUAAGCUGACUGAGAUGGACAAGGAGAUCGAGAAGUUCCGCAACGAGAACGCAGGUCUUGAAAAGUUGCGGCGAGAUAGAGAGGAGCUGUUGGGCAAGUUGCGGCAGGAGAUCUGCGACUUCGAGAAGGAGAAGGACUUGGAGGUCAAGCGCCUCGAAGAGUUCCGAGCACAGGAGGUGAAGAAGCUGAAGCAUGAGAGGAAGUUAUUCGAGCAGUACCAGAAGACUGUCAGGUCCAUGCCAGACAAACGGGAGAGGGAGGAGAUAGAUGCUCUCAAGCGACAGUUGUCAGAGCUGCAGGAUGAGAUGAAGAAGAAGGAGGGGCGGUGGACGUCGGCCAGCAACCGUCUGCGUCAGCGCCUGGAGGUGGUGGAGAUGGAGAACCAGGAACUGAAGGAGGAGGUGAAGUUGCUGGAGAAACGUCGCCUCGAGAUGUUGCAGCGGGAGACGCAGAAGAAGAAUGGUGUCCAGAAGAGUUUUCCUCGGUGCAGCACCCCCACGGAGGACAAGGAGAGGGACGUCGUCAGUGCAGUCAUCAGCAGCCAGGACCCAGUGGCCAGGUCGGCCCUACCACCUCACCACCCCCUGCUCAAUGGCUCUCAACAUUCCCAGUCCACCCUCCGACCUGACCACACCCAUGGCCACAAUGUGUCUGGUGAUGCCAUCCCUCGGAGUCAGCCGUCCGCUCCACUGUCACUGCCCAGAUCCUCAAGUCAGUCCCCCGAUGAUGACACUAGCUCAGUGGGUGCUGUUGUCAAUCUUCCACGGAAACAAAUCAGCAAGUUCUCCUCGGAGGACCCCGCUAUCGACAAGGGCGACCGCGAGUACGAGGAGACCCAGUACCCGGACGGGAAGGUUGAGAGAACGUACAGUAACGGGGCCCGGGAAAUACUCUUCGCCAAUGGAACAAGGAAGGAGAUCUCAUCAGACGGACAGUCAAUCAUUGUGUCCUUCUUCAAUGGCGACAUUAAACAGAUCUUCCCGGACCAGCGAGUUGUGUACUUCUAUGCAGAUGCUCAGACCACCCACACAACUUACCCCGACGGCCUGGAGAUCCUGCAGUUUCAGAACAACCAGAUAGAGAAGCACUACCCUGAUGGCACGAAGGAGAUCACAUUCCCGGACCAGACCAUCAAGUAUCUGUUUCCAAACGGAUCUGAGGAGAGCAUAUUCCCAGAUGGCACCGUGAUCCGCGUGGAGAAGUCCGGAGACAAGACGAUGGAGUUCCCUAACGGUCAGCGGGAAAUACACACAGAAACAUACAAGAGGAGGGAAUAUCCAGAUGGCACCGUGAAGACUGUAUACCCUGAUGGGCGCCAGGAGACUCGCUACUCCACGGGGAGGAUACGACUCAAAGACAAGGAUGGGAAUGUCAUCAUGGAUCGGAUGUGUUGACAGGAGCAUCUCGUGUGUACUCGUCUUGACAGUGUGAUCUGGAUGGUUUUGAGGUGGCGUAGGCCUGUGGUUAAAGUGUUUGCUCAUAACGCCCGGGGUCGAUUCCCCACAUAGGUAUAAGUGAAGACUGUUUCUGGUGUCCCUUGCUGUGAUAUUGCUGGAAAGUUGCUAAAAGUGACAUGCAUCCCUAUUCACUCUCGCAUUGUUGAUGAAAAUGGACUGACGCUUCUCUGGAAUAUCAUAUCACUCUGUUGAGGAACACAUUGCGAGGAUAUGUUGGUAUCCAGGCAAGGUUGUAAUAUACUUUGAUACAACUGGCUUUGCUACGGAUAAUGGAGAUGUCAUAUCUCAGCUGUAGGGGACUGUAAUGUGAUGAUACUGGACUAGUGACUCCUUGCAUCACACCAGAUGACUAGAUGAAUUGAAACUUACAGCUGACGUGAAGAAAUUUGUUUCUUGCGAAUUUGAUGGACAACACCAAGAUUCCUCCACCAACAUACAACUGUUGUUUGUAUGCUUUCUCUGAUCUAGUGGAUCUGAUGGACAACAUACACCUUCUCUGAUCUUGUGGAUCCGAUGGACAACAUACGACUUAUCUGAUCUAGUGGAUCUGAUGGACAACAUACACCUUCUCUGAUCUUUGGGUUCGAUGGACAACAUUCGACUUAUCUGAUCUAGUGGAUCUGAUGGACAACAUAUGUCUUCUCUGGUCUAGUGGAUCUGAUGGACAACAUGCACCUUCUCUGAUCUAGUGGAUCUGAUGGACAACAUAUGUCUUCUCUGAUCUAGUGGAUCUGAUGGACAUCAUACACCUUCUCUGAUCUAGUGGAUCUGAUGGACAACAUACACCUUCUCUGAUCUAGUGGAUCUGAUGGACAACAUACGACUUAUAUGAUCUAGUGGAUCUGAUGGACAACAUACACCUUCUCUGAUCUAGUGGAUCUGAUGGACAACAUACGACUUAUAUGAUCUAGUGGAUCUGAUGGACAACAUACACCUUCUCUGAUCUAGUGGAUCUGAUGGACAACAUACACCUUCUCUGAUCUAGUGGAUCUUAUGGACAACAUACACCUUCUCUGAUCUAGUGGAUCUGAUGGACAACAUACACCUUCUCUGAUCUAGUGGAUCUGAUGGACAACAUACACCUUCUCUGAUCUAGUGGAUCUGAUGGACAACAUACACCUUCUCUGAUCUAGUGGAUCUGAUGGACAACAUACACCUUCUCUGAUCUAAUGGAUCUGAUGGACAACACAAGGUGCCUCCACCAACAUAAGCCUGGUGUUUGUACACAUUUGUAACUAGUGGAUCCGAUGGACAAUGUAUGCCUUCUUUGAGUGGAUCUGAUGGACAACACAAGGUGCCUCUACCAACUUUAGCCUUGUGUUUGUGCCUGUUUGUAUCGAUUGGAACUGAUGGAAAACACAAGGUGCCACUUUCAUUUUCCAUACAUCCUUUCUCAUCAUGACAGUGUCAUGUGAAGUGCUUCAUGACAUUUGCAACACAUGACAGUGUCAGUUACUGACAGAAUAUGGUCUCCAGGAAAUCUAUAAGAGGAGGGAAUAUCCAGAUGGCACCGUGAAGACUGUAUACCCUGAUGGCCGCCAGGAGACUCGCUACUCCACGGGGAGGAUACGACUCAAAGACAAAGAUGGGAAUGUCAUCAUGGAUCGGAUGUGUUGACCGGAGCAUUAUUGUGUGUUCUGGUCUUGAUAGUUUGAGGUGGCGCAAGGCCUGUGGAUGAAGUGUUCACUCUCCACGCCUAAAAAAAUAAAAUAUUUAUGUCAGGUGCCAAAUAUCUGUGAUAUACCUAGGUCACAAAUGGUUGUACAAAUGUGGAAGUGUUUUAACCUGUUUGUGAUAAGACUUUUCUUCACCAAUUCUUCACCUCGAUUUAAUUGGCUGUUUUUGGAAUUGUAGCGUUUUAGGACAAGUCUUUGAGCAGGUUCCCAAUUUCACAAAGAACACAGUGUCUGGAGAUGUUGAUUUGUGAAACAUUUGGUGCAUAAUGUUAAGACCUUUCAGUGAAAGCUGCAACGCCAUUGACUUGGUCACAUAUGUACUUGACAGGGGGACAAUAGGAUUGAGAUUAUGUUCUGAUUUGAUUUCAAUAUCCAAUUAAGAUGGAAUAUCACACAAGAAAUAGGUAAUCAACAAAGUUAUGUACCGUUUUGCAAUAGAUCAAAAUUUAAGAGAGCUUUACCAUGAAAUCUUAUUUGCCCAAAAGUGUGUUUUACCAAUUUAUAACAACUCUAAGCCCUACUUCCUUAAAUCUUUCCACACUGAAGCAAUAACUUGUCUGACAACAGAAUAGAUCCUCUUACAUAUAGGGUAGAGAGAUCUAAAUAAAUCAUGUUAAAACCUGUGUAUUUAAAGAUGAAAAAAGCAUUUAUGAUAUCAGUUAGUUGUGUUGUCUGAUGCAGCCAGUAUAUUGUACAGAGCUUCACAAGUGCCUUGUAGUCGGUGUUUAAGACGCAUCAUAUUUACAUGAUGAAUAAAUGAAUGAAACUAAAAA